RNAcentral lists this transfer RNA (72 nucleotides) under Aquila heliaca. Its description in RNAcentral is "tRNA-Trp". It matches the Rfam family "tRNA". Rfam says of the family: Transfer RNA (tRNA) molecules are approximately 80 nucleotides in length. Their secondary structure includes four short double-helical elements and three loops (D, anti-codon, and T loops). RNAcentral also lists the same sequence under 2 other names. Lineage: Eukaryota; Metazoa; Chordata; Aves; Accipitriformes; Accipitridae. The record is from RNAcentral.
AGAAACUUAGGAUAACUAAUAAACCGAAGGCCUUCAAAGCCUUAAAUAAGAGUUAAACCCUCUUAGUUUCUG